This 605-nucleotide ribosomal RNA is filed under the name uncultured bacterium. RNAcentral's name for it is "bacterial SSU rRNA". It matches the Rfam family "Bacterial small subunit ribosomal RNA", at positions 263 to 859 of the family's 1533-position model. The record is from RNAcentral.
GCUUACCAAGGCGAUGAUGCAUAGCCGAGUUGAGAGACUGAUCGGCCACAUUGGGACUGAGACACGGCCCAAACUCCUACGGGAGGCAGCAGUAGGGAAUCUUCCACAAUGGACGCAAGUCUGAUGGAGCAACGCCGCGUGAGUGAAGAAGGUUUUCGGAUCGUAAAGCUCUGUUGUUGGUGAAGAAGGAUAGAGGUAGUAACUGGCCUUUAUUUGACGGUAAUCAACCAGAAAGUCACGGCUAACUACGUGCCAGCAGCCGCGGUAAUACGUAGGUGGCAAGCGUUGUCCGGAUUUAUUGGGCGUAAAGCGAGCGCAGGCGGAAGAAUAAGUCUGAUGUGAAAGCCCUCGGCUUAGCCGAGGAACUGCAUCGGAAACUGUUUUUCUUGAGUGCAGAAGAGGAGAGUGGAACUCCAUGUGUAGCGGUGGAAUGCGUAGAUAUAUGGAAGAACACCAGUGGCGAAGGCGGCUCUCUGGUCUGCAACUGACGCUGAGGCUCGAAAGCAUGGGUAGCGAACAGGAUUAGAUACCCUGGUAGUCCAUGCCGUAAACGAUGAGUGCUAAGUGUUGGGAGGUUUCCGCCUCUCAGUGCUGCAGCUAACGCA